This 253-nucleotide ribosomal RNA is filed under the name uncultured bacterium. RNAcentral describes it as "partial 16S ribosomal RNA". It matches the Rfam family "Bacterial small subunit ribosomal RNA", at positions 524 to 776 of the family's 1533-position model. The record is from RNAcentral.
UACGUAGGUGGCAAGCGUUAUCUGGAUUUAUUGGGCGUAAAGGGAACGCAGGCGGUCUUUUAAGUCUGAUGUGAAAGCCUUCGGCUUAACCGGAGUAGUGCAUUGGAAACUGGGAGACUUGAGUGCAGAAGAGGAGAGUGGAACUCCAUGUGUAGCGGUGAAAUGCGUAGAUAUAUGGAAGAACACCAGUGGCGAAAGCGGCUCUCUGGUCUGUAACUGACGCUGAGGGUCGAAAGCGUGGGUAGCAAACAGG